This is a long non-coding RNA of Oenanthe melanoleuca, 2213 nucleotides long. RefSeq lists it as uncharacterized. The record is from RefSeq and is a predicted model, not a curated record. NCBI's taxonomy places the organism in Eukaryota, Metazoa, Chordata, Aves, Passeriformes, Muscicapidae. The transcript is spliced from 2 exons.
GAUUGUAAUAGCUAUUUUCAACACAAAGCCAAGAUUUUCCUUCUAAGUUUAGGUAUCACCUAGAACAAGGUGCAGCCUGAACUACAAACCAGCCCUGUAGCAAACAGAAAGAAUCCUCUUCAGUCAAGGAAGUAAGGAAUGCUCUUUUCCAUUUAAAUGAAAUUAUCAAAGUCACACACGAGGAAUGAGGGGUGGUUAAACUUUCAGAAACUUCAGUGUAACUUGAGGGCUCAGUCUCUGCUUGUCCUCUCACUUCAAUAUUGAAAACUCGAUGUGAUUUGCCUGUCUCCGUAUCCUUAAGUGGAGUCUGAGUAGCUCAGGUGGAUUUACACAAACUUUGUUUGCAAGAGAUCAGUAUCUUUUGCCCAACUACUUCCACAGCAUUUAUUUUCUAGAUGAAACAUUCAAAGCAGGUUAAUGCAUAUCGCUCUGUGGGUUUUUUUUACUACUCUGAAGUUACAAAGCUCGCUGUAUGUUACUGCACAAAGUUUGCAAUAACUUGCUAUUCAGCAUUCAAGGUGGUGUAUUACCAGAGCUUGCUCUGCCUCACCUUGCCAGAAUACAAAGUUUCAUUCAAUGCUGCUUCAAAGCAAUUGCUGAAAUUUGGUUACAAGGUGGCUGAUGGCCUUGGAACAGGAGGAACACAUGUCCACCUGCACUUUUUCCAACCGCAUAAAAAUUAAUAGGUAGGUUUAGAAAUCCAUUAAGUAAAUUACUCCUGUAGUUUACUAGUAGCAGAAUUGCUAAAACAACAGAAGUUAGCUUAAAAUCUUUCCUCAUGAAUAGUGCUCUGCAAAUAGUGAGAGGGUAAAAGAGCAGUUAAUUACUCUGGAUUAAAAUACUUGAGUUUUCACACAGGAUUUUGCCAUCACCAUGGCACAUUAACUUUAGUCUUUGAGUGCUCAAAGCAGCAUGUAUCACAAUCUUCUCUCCAAACUUUAAAAUGAAACAAAAACAAAAAAACCAGAAGCAAUCUUUUCCAGUUUUUUUCAGGGGUUGAAUUAAAGCAGAAAAGCAAGUUUGAAAGAAGUAUCUGAGUUCUCAGCUAACAGCUGCUUUGAUAGUAGAAAUUAUCACUAAGGAGUCAAGAGCUAAUGGGGUUUAGUUUUAAAAAGUAUUCAACAGAGAGACGUGUGAAAUUUUAAGACUGAAAUGCAGGACAAGGGCAACUUACCUCUCCUGGCAAGAGUGAUUUGAUGAAAGACCAAGACAUCCCUACACACAAAGAGGAUUUGACUGAAGUAGGACUUAGGCUGUUAUAUUAAAAAACAGGCAGUAAGAAUUAAGCUCUGUUUCCCUGUCCAGCUGGCAAGAGUGGUUGCCCACAAAAGCAGUGAGUAAGCAGGAGUGGUUCAGGAACCUGUCAUGGGAGAUGCAGCCAGUCCAAGGCAUGCAGCUGCUUUCUGCUCACUCUCAAGAGAGAAGUAAAUGGCAGCAAAACCUCAUGACCAUUGUAUAACCAGUUCAAGCCAUUAAGUGUUCUGACACUGAAGAAUAUAGUCAACAGAACAUAUUUCAAAGCAAGAACACAAUGGUUCCAACAAGCUAAACAGCCUGAGCUGGUUCCCAGUUGUGCCCAUGACUUCCAGAGUGCACAAGGUUUGUUUCUGCCACCAGUAUGUUCCUGGUGGUGCUUUUGGAAAAGUCAAGUACAACUGACACAGCAGAACAGAGCAGUACCAUUUAAUGCACUCGAAAUAAUACUGAUCAGAUCAGUCUUUCCCUACACACAAGAACUCUCCCUUAAAAAGUUCAGUGUUGCCAGGGUUUUUGGAGCACCACAGUGAUAUUUCUUUCUUUACUUCUGUAUUAUUGUGGCUACAGGUACCAAGAAUAAUGCGGAGGCAGAAGAACCAAGACAUGCCAGCCACAGGCUCACAAUGUGUAUUAAAAAAAUCCAACUAUUAUCUCACAAGGGGGGGAAAAAAAAGGAGACACAUGGAAGCUGUCGAUUCCCAUUGCUUUUUUUUUUUUGCUCUGCAACAGUUUGGAACUAUUCAAUCAACAAGAACGGGAGUGCCAGGGUGACAGCAGCUGGAAACAUCUAUUUUCUGAAAGUGGAUUACACAGAAGAAAACAGAUAUUUUGGGAAUGUUUUAGAUAUGACCCUUUGAAUUGUCAUCUUGGACCUUUAAGUAGUCCAUGUAUAUAAGCAGUCCACGUAAAAAUAAUUUUUUUUCCAAAUAUAUUAAGAAUUUCAGAGUCCCCCUUUA